UGUCCAGGGGCGGAAUGGAACCCACAACCUUCUGCUUACCGGGCAGGUGCCAUGUCCACUAGGCUACCCUGGAC
Molecule: transfer RNA, 74 nt
Filed under: Cordylochernes scorpioides
Lineage: Eukaryota; Metazoa; Arthropoda; Arachnida; Pseudoscorpiones; Chernetidae
Description: tRNA-Thr
Source: RNAcentral